UAUUUGAUUUAGUUUACUUAUCUAUUUCUCAACAGAGUUAAAAUGGUCACACAAGAAGUUUUCUUGCAGUUUUUCAUAUUCUCAUUUUGUAUUGCACCAAUGAAUUUACCCAGUUUUAAUAUUUAAACCUAUAAUGCCAUAACAAUUAUAUAAAACUAAUUAUGUUAAUACAUUUUCAAGAAAAUCUUAUGUACCUGGUAUUUAUAUUUUAAUUGUAUAGUACACAUCUCUGAAGAAAAAACCCAGGUAUUACUGUUCCACAUUUACAUUAUAACGAGGAUAAUUAGCUCCCCUGAUUUGGUGGUUAAAUUAUUUGCAGGUGACAGAUAUGGAUAUGACAUGUUAUAAUGUUAUGUAUGUGCUCCUCCUCAACAGAAAAAAUUAUAAGCAUCCCUCUGGAGACCUGAUCAUUGAAUCCAGGUUAUAUGAACCUCAAGGACAUGAAAUUCAAAUCUACAUGUAUUCUGAAAUCUUUGUGUUGUAGAUAUAUAGUACUGGAGUAUAAAAAAUCAGUAGAAUUUAAGUUUAUAGUCAGGAGAAUGGUAGUAGGGUUAUCUAUUAUGGUUUUGGUAUAAAUAUUAUUUUCUUAUUGAUUAGACAUAGUUUUAUUUUCCAGAUUUAUAGUUCACCAUCAUCGAAUAACGAGCUUUGUCCUUUAAACAAUCACUAUUUUUCAAGUAAAACAGAUUUUUCUCAAACUUCUUAGUAGGUAGGUUCCCCUGGUCCUGUAGUAGGUUCCCCUGGUCCUGUAGUAGGUUCCCCUGGUCCUGGUUUGCUUUCUUAUGUAGUAGGUUCCCCUGGUCCUGUAGUAGGUUCCCCUGGUCCUGGUUUGCUUUCUUAUGUAGUAGGUUCCCCUGGUCCUGUAGUAGGUUCCCCUGGUCCUGUAGUAGGUUCCCCUGAUCCUGGUUUGCUUUCUUAUGUAGUAGGUUCCCCUGGUCCUGUAGUAGGUUCCCCUGGUCCUGGUUUGAUUUCUUAUGUAGUAUAUUUCCCUGGUCCUGUAGUAGGUUCCCCUGGUCCUGGUUUGAUUUUUUAUGUAGUAGGUUCCCCUGGUCCUGGUUUGAUUACUUAUGUAGAAGGUUCCCCUGGUCCUGUAGUAGGUUCCUCUGGUCCUGGUUUGAUUUCUUAUGUAGUAGGUUACCCUGGUCCUGGUUUGAUUUCUUAUGUAGAAGGUUCCCCUGGUCCUGUAGUAGGUUCCCCUGAUCCUGGUUUGCUUUCUUAUGUAGUAGGUUCCCCUGGUCCUGUAGUAGGUUCCUCUGGUCCUGGUUUGAUUUCUUAUGUAGUAGGUUCUCCUGGUCCUGGUUUGAUUUCUUAUGUAGAAGGUUUCCCUGGUCCUGUAGUAGGUUCCCCUGGUCCUGUAGUAGGUUCCCCUGGUCCUGGUUUGAUUUCUUAUGUAGUAGGUUCCACUGGUCCUGGUUUGAUUUCUUAUGUAGAAGGUUCCCCUGGUCCUGGUUUGAUUUCUUAUGUAGAAGGUUCGCCUGGUCCUGUAGUAGGUUCCCCUGAUCCUGGUUUGAUUUCUUAUGUAGUAGGUUCCACUGGUCCUGGUUUGAUUUCUUAUGUAGAAGGUUUCCCUGGUCCUGUAGUAGGUUCCCCUGGUCCUCCUGGUCCUGUAGUAGGUUCCCCUGGUCCUGGUUUGAUUUCUUAUGUAGUAGGUUCCCCUGGUCCUGGUUUGUACAUGUAUAAUCUAAAAUUUCUUGAUCAGAAAAACAUUUCAUGACCAGCGCAAGCAGUAAGCAUCUUUGAUUUUGACACUUAAUGUUUGUGUAUUAUGCUGUUUCUCAAAAAGUACCGUAGUUAAAAGAUCUUUCUCAAAUUUCAUAUGUAGGUUCCAUUCGGUCCAUUGUUGUGAAUGUUUAAAUUUUUGAAAAAUUGACAGUUGAAGUUUUUUAUCACUUUUUCUCAAGAAAUACUGGAGAGAUUUUCCCCAAUUUUAUAUGUAGGUUCCUUUGUGGUAGUGCUUUAAUUUGAGACUGAUCAGAAUUUUGGAUUUUCGUGGUUUAAUUGAAUGGUAUCACAAUUUCUCGGACAUCUUUUUACACAUUAAGUACUAUUCUAAUCAACCAACAAUUACCUCCCUUUGAAAGGACUUUGGUGAAACACAGUUGUACACAAUUUUAAUCAAAAGUUACGAGAUGAAUUUGCUGUUGACAAGAUAUUUAGAUCCAACAGAUAAAAAAACAAAAGAUUGAACUUGCAGAGAACUUAUAGGGCUUCCUUUGUAUGUACAUGUAUGUUGUUUGUUACAUGUUGUUGUGGCUACUGUAAUGCUCCCAAUACCAACUGAUCUGACCUAAAAAGAUGCAUGUCAUUAGGAUAAUCUCAACUUUAUUUUUUUUGACAUUUAAUUUUCAACAUUCAAAGGACUAAUCAAUAUUUAUUUUUAAUUCAAAAUAAGUCCAUGCUAUUAUAACAAUGAGCUCAGUAAAAGUGUGUUUAACACUACAGGAAAGCAGUGGUGUACGUCUGCUAGGUUCCAGAACUAAAAUUGCACUAGAGACAUAUACAAUGUAAUAAGUGUGCUAGUAUGUUCAACUGAAAAUGUUGACAAUGCUUGUAAUCCUCACAGACAAUGGCUGCCGGAUGCAUGCUAUUUCCGCCAAACUUAGUGAAAGUUUUUGUGUUGGCAUGUAAUUAUGGAUGUUUCUUUAUCACGACAUAUUUGUUACAUGCAAAUGGUACUUCUAGUUACAGCUGAAGAUAUAAACUAUACUGUUGUUCAAUUGGAAUACAAUUGCUCUUAAUUUGUCCAUUUCAAGAUGUCUGUUACUUCAGAUAUUAAAGCAUGAACCUCAGUUACCACUACCGUAUAUCAGUCAUUGAUAAUCAUUUAUGUAAAUGUUUUCCAGAUUAAUUUUCAAACAAUGUUACAACCCUUAUGCAUGCUGUAUGACAUUUCAGCAUUUUCCUAAUCAAUGGUGAACAGCAAUCUUGGAGUGUUUUUUUUUUAUUAAAGAACCGUAAAAAUCUCGUGUAAUUUGUACAGUUGAGUGUCACCUUUGCAUGUUCAUUGUAUCUUAGCACAUAAAAGCUGGAGGGGAGAGGGGGAUUUUUUUCUGCUUUCUUGUUUAUAUAUAAUGUUGAAAGAAAUACACUACAAUGUAAAAUACAAUUCAAAGUGACUUUCACAAGUGUUCUACUGUAAAACAAUGUGACAAAUUUUUAGCUGACCUGGCCCGAAGCAACGUCCUUCGUCCCGCAACUUUUUCCUUUAAAUCGCUACUAGUCCUUAACGGCUCAGUGGAUUUUGACCAAAUUUUGUAUAAACUGAGGUGUGUGGGCCCCCUUCUUUGGGGCAGAUUAUGGGAAAUAGAGGA
Mizuhopecten yessoensis (Yesso scallop) is the source of this 3311-nucleotide long non-coding RNA. RefSeq lists it as uncharacterized. The transcript has 7 exons. The record is from RefSeq and is a predicted model, not a curated record. Lineage: Eukaryota; Metazoa; Mollusca; Bivalvia; Pectinida; Pectinidae.